AUACGGAGGGUGCAAGCGUUACGCGGAAUCACUGGGCGUAAAGCGCGCGCAGGCGGCUAUUUAAGUUGGAUGUGAAAGCCUACGGCUCAACCGUAGAACUGCAUCCAAAACUAUUUAGCUAGAGUGUGAGAGAGGAAGAUGGAAUUAGUUGUGUAGGGGUAAAAUCCGUAGAGAUAACUAGGAAUACCAAAAGCGAAGGCAAUCUUCUGGAACACUACUGACGCUGAGGCGCGAAAGCGUGGGGAGCAAACAGAAUUAGAAACCCUUGUAGUCC
This 274-nucleotide ribosomal RNA is filed under the name uncultured bacterium. Its description in RNAcentral is "partial 16S ribosomal RNA". It matches the Rfam family "Bacterial small subunit ribosomal RNA", at positions 523 to 796 of the family's 1533-position model. The record is from RNAcentral.